UGAGCAACCUGCCCUUGACUCUGGAAUAACAGUUGGAAACAGCUGCUAAUACCGGAUAUGACCUCCGAUGGCAUCAUCUGGAGGUGGAAAGCUCCGACGGUCAAGGAUGGGCUCGCGGCCUAUCAGCUUGUUGGUGAGGUAACGGCUCACCAAGGCUUCGACGGGUAGCCGGCCUGAGAGGGCGACCGGCCACACUGGGACUGAGAUACCGGCCCAGACCUCUACGGGGAGG
Molecule: ribosomal RNA, 232 nt
Filed under: uncultured bacterium
Lineage: Bacteria
Description: partial 16S ribosomal RNA
Rfam family: Bacterial small subunit ribosomal RNA
Source: RNAcentral